RNAcentral lists this ribosomal RNA (115 nucleotides) under Vibrio alginolyticus. The record is from RNAcentral. Lineage: Bacteria; Pseudomonadati; Pseudomonadota; Gammaproteobacteria; Vibrionales; Vibrionaceae. RNAcentral also lists the same sequence under 5 other names.
UGGCGACCAUAGCAUUGUGGACCCACCUGAUUCCAUGCCGAACUCAGAAGUGAAACACAAUAGCGCCGAUGGUAGUGUGGGGCUUCCCCAUGUGAGAGUAGGACAUCGCCAGGCU